RNAcentral lists this ribosomal RNA (500 nucleotides) under uncultured bacterium. Its description in RNAcentral is "partial 16S ribosomal RNA". It matches the Rfam family "Bacterial small subunit ribosomal RNA", at positions 30 to 523 of the family's 1533-position model. The record is from RNAcentral.
AUUGAACGCUGGCGGCAUGCUUUACACAUGCAAGUCGAACGGUAACAGGGUGCUUGCACCGCUGACGAGUGGCGAACGGGUGAGUAAUGCGUCGGAACGUGCCGAGUAGUGGGGGAUAACGCAUCGAAAGGUGUGCUAAUACCGCAUACGUACUGAGGUAGAAAGUGGGGGACCUUCGGGCCUCACGCUAUUCGAGCGGCCGACGUCUGAUUAGCUAGUUGGUGAGGGAAAGGCUCACCAAGGCGGCGAUCAGUAGCGGGUCUGAGAGGAUGAUCCGCCACACUGGGACUGAGACACGGCCCAGACUCCUACGGGAGGCAGCAGUGGGGAAUUUUGGACAAUGGGCGCAAGCCUGAUCCAGCCAUGCCGCGUGUCUGAAGAAGGCCUUCGGGUUGUAAAGGACUUUUGUCCGGGAGCAAAUACCCAGUGCUAAUAACGCUGGGGGCUGAGAGUACCGGAAGAAUAAGCACCGGCUAACUACGUGCCAGCCGCCGCCGUAA